UCUUCCUAUAGGAACACUUCUUCAGCUCUGUGCUGUCCCCCUAGCUCAGCAGGUGGAUGUGAGCUUGGAACUAGAAGUACCUGGAUGUGAACAUGAUUGCUGCCACUUUCUCAAUCUAUACCUUGGACAAGAGUUCAUGAACUUUCAAUUCUGGAAUCCUUCAACACAGGGACCAAAAUUAUACCUCCAUUUUCUCUUCAUGUGUCUAAGAGGUAUUUCCCAACUGACUAUGGGAUGCUAGAGGGCAUCCCAUACUGCAUACCUACUUUUGGGAGUGUCAAUGAAGCAUUCAAAACAGGCUUAAGGAAAAUUGUGGAAGAGGGGCCAGAAAGGUAAUAGCCAGAAGAUCAGGAUGUCUGCUGUGAGAAAGUGUUUUCUGUGUACGACAGGGAAUCUGCACCAUGAACUCUCAACAGUAUAAUUGUCUGAACAAUACCCAUGUGACAGUACCACCAGUUGUCACACCAACACGGAUGAGGCAACUCUCACAAGACCCUACCCUUAGAUGAAGAACUAUAGAUGAUCAGUGCCUGCCGAGAUCCAAAGUCAGAACCAGAAGUACAAUAGCAGUUUCAAAACAUUUCCUUAAAGUUUUGGAGUGGAUGAAAUAUAAAGCAAUAUUAGUAUAAACUUUUGAAGAAUCAUUGAACCUGGAGACUGUUAUAUGGUAUCAGUUCAGUCCUGACAAACCUGGACUCUCUCUGAAGUCUGUGUGGUGGUCCCAUCGUUAUAAAUACUCUCUCUACAUUUGGUUCUAAAGAGAUGAGCAUAAGCACCCUCUGCCAUCCACAGCAGCAAGUAAUAGCCCCUGGGCAUCAAACUAAUAAUCUUUGACUGGCUUGAACUAAAUACGGCCAUGAAGUGAUUGACCUGAACAUGCCAGAUUAUUGAUUGGGCUGGAAAUGCCUAAGCCAUCAUUUUCUUGGAGCAGUCACUGCUUUUGUCUUGAUCCCAUCCACAGCUGUCACACUGUGGAGAGCCAUUGAAAGAGUCCACAUUUUCAUCCUUCAUACAUCUAUGCUACUCGGCUUCAAAUAAAAAUGCCACCACUUGAAA
This is a long non-coding RNA of Peromyscus eremicus (cactus mouse), 1056 nucleotides long. RefSeq lists it as uncharacterized. The transcript is spliced from 5 exons. The record is from RefSeq and is a predicted model, not a curated record. Lineage: Eukaryota; Metazoa; Chordata; Mammalia; Rodentia; Cricetidae.